RNAcentral lists this long non-coding RNA (730 nucleotides) under Ananas comosus (pineapple). Its description in RNAcentral is "long non-coding RNA (ACOM_LNC037273)". The record is from RNAcentral. Lineage: Eukaryota; Viridiplantae; Streptophyta; Magnoliopsida; Poales; Bromeliaceae.
CCGUUAUUCAGUCUAGUUCUUACUUUCUUUCAGUUUGUUGCUACUGUAUUUAGUAUAUCUGCUCAUUACCUUAUACAUCUCUUUUGUUUACUAUUGUUCCUAUUGUAUUUCCACUGACCCGUGUUGUUGUAUAGCUCUUCCUGAUCCGGUGAGUACUCCUCGCCUUCUUCGGCUUGCGGUACCCACUGGGAGGGGAGACAUGUUUACAUGUUCUCACCUCCCCCACCAUUUUUUAGGUAUCGCGGGCGGUGAGGGUUGAGACGAGACGUGAGGUACGUAGCGGUCGAUAGAGCUUCCGAUCCAGGUUAUUUCGGUUUAGUUAUUACCCCUUUUAUUUCAGUUGUUAUAGCUUAGAUAGUUUAUAUGGUUCAGUAUUUUUUUUUAUUACAUUUGAAAAUAUGUGUUUUCAUGAAUAUAAUAAACUGGUUUGUGAAUUUUGUAAAAUAAAAGGUUUUCUACCCCUCGUGAUAGCGUUUUAAAGAAAGAUAAAAGUUCCUGUGUAGGAACAGUUUUCAAAAGGUUUUCUAUGAAUUUUGCAUCUUAGUAUUUCAAAACUUGUUUCUGUGGUUGGAAACAUUUUAACUGAUAGAUGUGGAUUUAUGUUUAAAUAUUAAACGUAAAAAUGUGAACCUGUGGUGAAUGGUGUAUGAAUAUAUAACUGUGGUUAUUUGUAUGUUCAUCUGGUUGUGGUUGUAUCAUGUUUGAACUCUUGUACUUGUGCGACGCCGUG